GACGAACGCUGGCGGCGUGCUUAACACAUGCAAGUCGAACGGUGAAUCUCCAUCUUUCUGGUGUGUAUCAGUGGCGAACGGGUGAGUAACACGUGAGCAACCUGCCCCUGACUCUGGAAUAAGCGCUGGAAACGGCGUCUAAUACUGGAUACGAGAUCAAGCCGCAUGGUUUUGUUCUGUUAUUUUUUUCGGUUUGGGUUGGGCUCGCUGCCUAUCAGCUUGUUUGUGAGGUAAUGGCUCACCAAGGCGACGACGGGUAGCCGGACUGAGAGGGCGACCGGCCAAAAUGGGACUGAGAGACGGACAAGACUCCUACGGGAGGCAGCAGGGGGGAAUAUUGCACAAUGGGCGAAAGCGUGAUGCAGCGAAGCAGCGUGAGGGAUGACGGCCUUGGGGUUGUAAACCUCUGUCAGCAGGGAAGAAGAGAAAGUGACGGUAACUGCAGAAGAAGCACCGGCUAACUACGUG
Molecule: ribosomal RNA, 468 nt
Filed under: uncultured bacterium
Lineage: Bacteria
Description: partial 16S ribosomal RNA
Rfam family: Bacterial small subunit ribosomal RNA
Source: RNAcentral